This 481-nucleotide ribosomal RNA is filed under the name uncultured bacterium. RNAcentral's name for it is "partial 16S ribosomal RNA". It matches the Rfam family "Bacterial small subunit ribosomal RNA", at positions 28 to 507 of the family's 1533-position model. The record is from RNAcentral.
GACGAACGUUGGCGGCGUGCUUAAUACAUGCAAGUCAACUGAAGCAGUGGUAGCAAUCUCGCUGUGGAGGUGGCGCACGGGUGAGUAACACGUAGGUAAUCUGCCUUCAGGUCUGGCAUAACUCCGGGAAACCGGGGCUAAUAGCAGAUGAUGCAGCGGCUCGACAUCGAGACAGUUGUUAAAGCUAUGGCGCCUGAAGAUGAGCCUGCGUCUGAUUAGCUAGUUGGCGGGGUAACGGCCCACCAAGGCAACGAUCAGUAGCUGGUCUGAGAGGAUGAUCAGCCACACUGGAACGGAGACACGGUCCAGACUCCUACGGGAGGCAGCAGUAAGGAAUAUUGCUCAAUGGGAGAAAUCCUGAAGCAGCAACGCCGCGUGAGGGACGAAGGGCUUUUGCUUGUAAACCUCUGUAGUGAGAGAAAAAAAUCCCAAUCUUUGGGACAUGAUGGUAUCUCAAAAGUAAGCCCCGGCUAACUACGUG